Molecule: ribosomal RNA, 465 nt
Filed under: uncultured bacterium
Lineage: Bacteria
Description: partial 16S ribosomal RNA
Rfam family: Bacterial small subunit ribosomal RNA
Source: RNAcentral
GACGAACGCUGGCGGCGUGCUUAACACAUGCAAGUCGAACGGAAAGGCCCCUUUGGGGGUACUCGAGUGGCGAACGGGUGAGUAACACGUGAGUAACCUGCCCUUGACUUCGGGAUAACUUCAGGAAACUGGGGCUAAUACCGGAUAGGAAUCCUUGCUGCAUGGUGGGGGUUGGAAAGCUUCGGCGGUUUUGGAUGGACUCGCGGCUUAUCAGCUUGUUGGUGGGGUAGUGGCUUACCAAGGCUUUGACGGGUAGCCGGCCUGAGAGGGCGACCGGCCACAUUGGGACUGAGAGACGGCCCAGACUCCUACGGGAGGCAGCAGUGGGGAAGAUUGCACAAGGGGCGGAAGCCUGAUGCAGCAACGCCGCGUGCGGGAUGACGGCCUUCGGGUUGUAAACCGCUUUCAGCAGGGGCGAAGCUUGUGGUGACGGUACCUGCAGAAGAAGCACCGGCUAACUACGUG